GACCUCCUGUAUACCAGGCGAGGUAGUUAACAUCUCGCCACCGUGGCGCCAUGUGUCAGCUACCCGUAAAAUGUUGCAGCGCCCGGCAUACCACGUCCAGUAUACCCCUCGCUACGGCUGUGGCAACGAGUCAGCUGCCCUCUCCGGGUUACCGCGAUCCAAACGAUAUUCAGCAAGCGCAGCAAAACCCUAUUCAGGCUCAUCCCCGCUUUGGUUGUAGAAAGACUGGAAAAUCAAGAACAGUCAAGUCACAAGAGGAGCGUUACAGAUGUUCACGAUGCUAAAGAUGAGAGCGAAGCUUCAGCUAUUGGGGAUAGGGGGCAGGGCGAAACCCUCCCCCCCCCCCAAAAAAAAAUUCACUUCAUCUCUCCGAUGCUGGAAUCCGUGAAAUUUGGCGAAUGAGUGUCGGUGUCGUGUCGCGUUCGAGCGGAUGGAGAAGAGCGGAGGUUGUGCAGGUACAAAGGCAAAGUGAUAAUAACAGCCGGUGGGGAUGAUUUCAGUGGAAAACUGGAACAGCUGGGCGCUGCAGCUGCAGCUGCCAGGCCUCGUGCGGGAUUAAUGCCACAGCAUCCGGACAACAGCCCCGGGGCCAACUGUUACCUCUCUAAACGCGUCCCGAAAUGCAUCGCAGGGAGGGUCAUUCACGCGACUAAAUGGUCGGUGAUAAAUUUCUCGUGUCGUUUAAAGAAACAUGCGGUUGAUAUGACGUUGUUGUUGUUUAUGUUGUUGUUGUUGUUGCUAUAAGAAAUGGAGUCCCCGUGGUUUGGGGCCUGGCUGCGUGAAAUGACACACGGUGUAAACUGACUAUGAUGAGUGAAGCGUGCUGCGUACGGUUUUUGGAUUCCAGCAGGAGUUGCUGUGCGUACGGUGGAGGGGAGGUGGCAGCCCUCGGCCAGUUUUCCCUGGAUCGUCUCAGAGUGCCCGUUACAAUAUUCACCUAUCAAUUUGCUAUCGUCAUUGGUUUACAAUUUUGCUAGUGUCAUCAUCAUCAUCCGCACCCCCAAAAAGCGCGGUUGACUACGUACCAUGCGAAAGAAGUCCAACAUACAGCACACGCAUCAUGAGCACCACCACCACCAGCAGCAGCAGCAGCAUCAAAGGCAGCGCGCUACGAUAAAUUCACUGCUGGAAGAAAGGCCUGGGAAGGUGUUACCAUCUCUCACGGUCCUACAAAUCUAACAUACCACCUAGCGCCUACGUACGAGCUGAUUUCGUCGCUCCAUCUCCGUGGUAGUCGCCCCGGAACGUCGGACGUGUUCCCUCCUUUGGCUUCGACUCCCUCGUUAAUUUCUCCCGCCGGCCAACCGUGCUGCUCAGCGACACACGGACGCUUACUUUGCAAUACGACGUCUCUAACCCACGUAGCUCCUCUUGCAACGAUGACGAUUUGUGUUGUUACGUGGUGUGUUUUUUUUUUUAAAGCGAGCACGCUCCUAAUGCGUCGCGGCUUCGCGGAACGCGCUGCAUCGCAUCUCGUCUCAACGAAUUUGAAAGGGGCACCCCCCCAUCCCCAGUGGCAGCUGCCCCUGUGUGGCACAAUGUGACUCAGCAGCUGCCUACAAACGGGCAUCAGUCUGCCAGGCGGGGGGGGGGGAGGGGGGAUUGCUACUGUGUGUAGUAGUCCCCAUUGUGUAAUGCACGUGUUGUUCUUAUUGUUAUUCUGUCGGUUGCUCAGUGUAGCUCCAUGCAGGCAUCUCUCUCUCUGUUUUUACAUGGCCGUGUUAGGUUCAAUCGCUAAGUGUAUGCAUGUUGACCUUCUUUCACACCGUACGUGACCAAACCGCGCUAAUCGGAGGUGCGUUCUUGAGCUGUGUAUAUAUAUAGAUAUGCAAACUACCACGAUCUCACCUAAAAUGUCGACAACUCACAAAAAAACGAAUCAGAACACACAAUUUUAAUUUAAAAAAAAUUCAACGGCAGACCUAAAAAUAGAUGCAAUGAAUGUGAACACCGCUUGCUUAACGAAGCACGAGGGACUGGGGAGGGGGGGGGGUGAUCCCCGCGCAGAGACUGCCCCGGGCACGCGCGGGCCCUCCAGGGGCUCUUCGGGGUCUGUCCGGGCGCCUUCCCGACGGCUCUCCGUGUCUCCUUCGUUCGAACGAGGACGCACCGAGGCGCGCGGCGAUCUUCCUCCUGUCCUGUUGGUCGCGGAGUCGCUCGACAGCUCAUGCCGAGGGAUCCGCUGGCAUCUUCCACUUGUCACCAUCCCGUUGGAAGGCACGCAAGCACGGAGGGACAAUUCAUCUUGCUGCCAAGGCCGGGGGAACGCACGGAGCCAGCGGGGGAAAAAAAAAACCCCGAACGGUGGCCGCUAAACGCCGUGGCCAAGCGCCCGGCUCUCCGCGGCUGAUGUCUUCAUCAAUGCAGGAGAAUGAGAGAUGGUGUUGUCCUUGAGAACCAAUAAGAGAGGGAAUAGGGCAGUGGUGAUGUGCGCAUUCACGACGAGCAUCUCUGCUAUCGCUGUGCAUCGAGCCCCGGGAAAGAUGCACGGGCGAUGGUGACAGCGGGCGGCACUUCGCGUCGACGUUGCGCGCGAGCGUUUGAGCGGCUCCCGAAGAAGCUCCCGGCGCGUGGAGCAAAACGUCGGACAUCGGGGCCGAACAGCGCGCGGAACGACCCGGAAACGCACUGGAGAUGAACACUUCGCAUCUUCCCGCGGGGGUCUGCCCCUUGCCUGCUUUGCCACGUCGCAGGCCGCGUGGUGGUCACGUGCAGGCGAUGGCCUCUCCACACCCCCCGUGGACUCGGGCCUUGCCAUCGCAGCGAUGCCGUCGAUGGAUCUCGUGACUUUCUGGGCUUCCCGUGCGCCAGAGCAUCUCAAUGCACUUUGAAACGUAAAACCGCAGCCCGAAGUCACGGGGCGUGUGCAGCGGUGGAGCAGCAGACGAUGAAAAACAAAGUCCGGUGUCCACGUCGCUCAGCGAAACUCUUUACUCAAAUCACAACAUCGUUCGUCUUUGCCGAUUGAGAAAUUAAAUUGAAUUAAUAUAAAAACCCUGCUGAGGAAAUUGUAACUUGCUGACCAGCCUCUACUAGACAUCUGUGAAAAAGGAAAAGAGCUUCAUAGCUCAUCGGAUUCCUCCAGUCUCAAACGUAUGGCUUUUGUGUGACCUGUCAAGCCACGUCUGACAAAGAGCACACCCCCCCCCCCCCCCCCCUUACUCGCUCCCCCACGCAAUGUGCCAGUCGUGGCUUCUUAUUUUCACCUUUUGGGUCACACUUCACGAAAACGGUUCGGGAGAAUGUUGGGGCCCCUUCUCCAAAAAUUGGCAGCCAACUCGAGCCGUCUGAAAACUUGCAAAUAGA
This is a long non-coding RNA of Petromyzon marinus (sea lamprey), 3306 nucleotides long. RefSeq lists it as uncharacterized. The record is from RefSeq and is a predicted model, not a curated record. NCBI's taxonomy places the organism in Eukaryota, Metazoa, Chordata, Hyperoartia, Petromyzontiformes, Petromyzontidae.